RNAcentral lists this ribosomal RNA (434 nucleotides) under uncultured delta proteobacterium. Its description in RNAcentral is "bacterial SSU rRNA". It matches the Rfam family "Bacterial small subunit ribosomal RNA", at positions 930 to 1497 of the family's 1533-position model. The record is from RNAcentral. Lineage: Bacteria; Deltaproteobacteria.
CGGUGGAGCAUGUGGUUCAAUUCGACGCAACGCGAAGAACCUUACCUGGUUGGAACCCCCCGGAAUCCUCCAGAGAUGAGGUCCCGGCCGGUCCAGGUGUGACGAGCGCAACCCCUGUCGUUAGUUGCUAACGGGAUGUCAAGUCUCAUGGCCCUUAUGCCCAGGCCACAUACAUGGGCGGUACAAGCGUCGCUAACCCGCGAGGGGGAGCCUCGCAAAAAACCGUCCUCAGUUCAGAUUGCAGUGCAACUCGACUGCAUGAAGUCGGAAUCGCUAGUAAUCCUAAUCAGCAGGUAGGGGUGAAUACGUUCCCGGGCCUUGUACACACCGCCGUCACACCAUGGGAGUCAGUUGCUCCAGAAACGGCUGCGCUAACCCGCAAGGGGGGCAGGUCUUUAAGAGUGACUGGUGACUGGGGUGAAGUCGUACAAGGU